GGAACUGCCCCGGAGCCCGAGGGGAGGGCGACCUCACUGAGGCUGCCGGCUCUGGAGGUGCCCCGGCGGCCGAAGCCGUGACAGUCGCGGGGACGGCGGGCCGGUUGUUUCAACAAGUAACUUAAAGACAAAAUGGAAAAACAAGGAGGUUUGUGCCUGAGAUCAUGUUGAUGUGAAACCAGGGAUGGCCACCUUGUGCCAGAUUCUUCAGAUGCAAACAGGCAGAGCUUCAGACUGAAAGUCAGCUCUUCCAAAAUGACCCGUCAGCAAACACUGCAGGAUUCCACUCCAGUGGGUGCCCUGGAGUCGACAACUCAGGGACUGAAGUGGAUAUCGGUGCCAGGGGCAGUGGGCGGGAAUGGGGAAUGAGACUUUCAUGGUUGUGGAAUUUUGGUUUUGCAAGAUGAAAAGUUCUAGGGAUGGUGGUGAUGGCUCCACGAGAAAGUGAAUAUAUCUGAUGCCUCAGAAACGUGCACUUAAAAUGGUGAUGAUGGUAAAGGGUAUG
This is a long non-coding RNA of Balaenoptera acutorostrata (minke whale), 505 nucleotides long. RefSeq lists it as uncharacterized. The record is from RefSeq and is a predicted model, not a curated record. Lineage: Eukaryota; Metazoa; Chordata; Mammalia; Artiodactyla; Balaenopteridae. The transcript has 3 exons.